GACGAACGCUGGCGGCGUGCUUAACACAUGCAAGUCGAACGGAAAGGCCCUGCUUUUGUGGGGUGCUCGAGUGGCGAACGGGUGAGUAACACGUGAGUAACCUGCCCUUGACUUUGGGAUAACUUCAGGAAACUGGGGCUAAUACCGGAUUGGAGCUCCUGCUGCAUGGUGGGGGUUGGAAAGUUUCGGCGGCUGGGGAUGGACUCGCGGCUUAUCAGCUUGUUGGUGGGGUAGUGGCUUACCAAGGCUUUGACGGGUAGCCGGCCUGAGAGGGUGACCGGCCACAUUGGGACUGAGAUACGGCCCAGACUCCUACGGGAGGCAGCAGUGGGGAAUAUUGCACAAUGGGCGGAAGCCUGAUGCAGCAACGCCGCGUGCGGGAUGACGGCCUUCGGGUUGUAAACCGCUUUCGCCUGUGACGAAGCGUGAGUGACGGUAAUGGGUAAAGAAGCACCGGCUAACUACGUG
RNAcentral lists this ribosomal RNA (468 nucleotides) under uncultured bacterium. RNAcentral's name for it is "partial 16S ribosomal RNA". It matches the Rfam family "Bacterial small subunit ribosomal RNA", at positions 28 to 507 of the family's 1533-position model. The record is from RNAcentral.